This 671-nucleotide ribosomal RNA is filed under the name Lactiplantibacillus plantarum. Its description in RNAcentral is "bacterial SSU rRNA". It matches the Rfam family "Bacterial small subunit ribosomal RNA", at positions 861 to 1532 of the family's 1533-position model. The record is from RNAcentral. Lineage: Bacteria; Bacillati; Bacillota; Bacilli; Lactobacillales; Lactobacillaceae.
UAAGCAUUCCGCCUGGGGAGUACGGCCGCAAGGCUGAAACUCAAAGGAAUUGACGGGGGCCCGCACAAGCGGCGGAGCAUGUGGUUUAAUUCGAAGCUACGCGAAGAACCUUACCAGGUCUUGACAUACUAUGCAAAUCUAAGAGAUUAGACGUUCCCUUCGGGGACAUGGAUACAGGUGGUGCAUGGUUGUCGUCAGCUCGUGUCGUGAGAUGUUGGGUUAAGUCCCGCAACGAGCGCAACCCUUAUUAUCAGUUGCCAGCAUUAAGUUGGGCACUCUGGUGAGACUGCCGGUGACAAACCGGAGGAAGGUGGGGAUGACGUCAAAUCAUCAUGCCCCUUAUGACCUGGGCUACACACGUGCUACAAUGGAUGGUACAACGAGUUGCGAACUCGCGAGAGUAAGCUAAUCUCUUAAAGCCAUUCUCAGUUCGGAUUGUAGGCUGCAACUCGCCUACAUGAAGUCGGAAUCGCUAGUAAUCGCGGAUCAGCAUGCCGCGGUGAAUACGUUCCCGGGCCUUGUACACACCGCCCGUCACACCAUGAGAGUUUGUAACACCCAAAGUCGGUGGGGUAACCUUUUAGGAACCAGCCGCCUAAGGUGGGACAGAUGAUUAGGGUGAAGUCGUAACAAGGUAGCCGUAGGAGAACCUGCGGCUGGAUCACCUCCUU